RNAcentral lists this ribosomal RNA (497 nucleotides) under uncultured bacterium. RNAcentral's name for it is "partial 16S ribosomal RNA". It matches the Rfam family "Bacterial small subunit ribosomal RNA", at positions 28 to 506 of the family's 1533-position model. The record is from RNAcentral.
GAUGAACGCUGGCGGCGUGCCUAAUACAUGCAAGUCGAGCGAACAGACGAGGAGCUUGCUCCUCUGACGUUAGCGGCGGACGGGUGAGUAACACGUGGAUAACCUACCUAUAAGACUGGGAUAACUUCGGGAAACCGGAGCUAAUACCGGAUAAUAUAUUGAACCGCAUGGUUCAAUAGUGAAAGACGGUUUUGCUGUCACUUAUAGAUGGAUCCGCGCCGCAUUAGCUAGUUGGUAAGGUAACGGCUUACCAAGGCAACGAUGCGUAGCCGACCUGAGAGGGGGAAUCGCACACACUGAACUGAGAAACGGUCCCGAAUCCCCAGGGAGGGAGGCGGAGGGGAAUUUGCCCAAUGGGGGAAAAGCCUAAGGGGGAAACGCCGGGGGGGGGUGAAGGGUUUCGGAAUGGAAAAACUUUUUAUUAGGGAAAAAAAAAAUGGGAAAGAAAUGAGGCCCGUUUGGGCGGAACCAAACAAAAAAGCACGGGCAAACUACGG